CGUGUAGGCGGUUUGUACAGUCAGAUGUGAAAUCCCCGGGCUUAACCUGGGAGCUGCAUUUGAUACGUGCAGACUAGAGUGUGAGAGAGGGUUGUGGAAUUCCCAGUGUAGAGGUGAAAUUCGUAGAUAUUGGGAAGAACACCGGUGGCGAAGGCGGCAACCUGGCUCAUAACUGACGCUGAGGCGCGAAAGCGUGGGGAGCGAACA
Molecule: ribosomal RNA, 207 nt
Filed under: uncultured bacterium
Lineage: Bacteria
Description: partial 16S ribosomal RNA
Rfam family: Bacterial small subunit ribosomal RNA
Source: RNAcentral